GUACACGAGCGGCGAACGGGUGAGUAACACGUGGGUAACCUGCCCUGCACUUUGGGAUAACCUCGGGAAACCGGGGCUAAUACCGGAUAGGACAUGCCAUCGCAUGGUGGUGUGUGGAAAGUUCCGGCGGUGUGGGAUGGGCCCGCGGCCUAUCAGCUUGUUGGUGGGGUGAUGGCCUACCAAGGCGACGACGGGUAGCCGGCCUGAGAGGGCGACCGGCCACACUGGGACUGAGACACGGCCCAGACUCCUACGGGAGGCAGCAGUGGGGAAUAUUGCGCAAUGGGCGAAAGCCUGACGCAGCGACGCCGCGUGAGGGAUGACGGCCUUCGGGUUGUAAACCUCUUUCAGCGCCGAAGAAGCGAAAGUGACGGUAGGCGCAGAAGAAGCACCGGCUAACUACGUGCCAGCAGCCGCGGUAAUACGUAGGGUGCGAGCGUUGUCCGGAAUUAUUGGGCGUAAAGAGCUCGUAGGCGGUUUGUCGCGUCGGCUGUGAAAACCUGGGGCUUAACCCUGGGCGUGCAGUCGAUACGGGCAGACUUGAGUUCGGCAGGGGAGACUGGAAUUCCUGGUGUAGCGGUG
This 582-nucleotide ribosomal RNA is filed under the name Actinoalloteichus sp. QAII6. RNAcentral's name for it is "bacterial SSU rRNA". It matches the Rfam family "Bacterial small subunit ribosomal RNA", at positions 87 to 683 of the family's 1533-position model. Lineage: Bacteria; Bacillati; Actinomycetota; Actinomycetes; Pseudonocardiales; Pseudonocardiaceae. The record is from RNAcentral.